RNAcentral lists this ribosomal RNA (980 nucleotides) under uncultured bacterium. RNAcentral describes it as "bacterial SSU rRNA". It matches the Rfam family "Bacterial small subunit ribosomal RNA", at positions 8 to 982 of the family's 1533-position model. The record is from RNAcentral.
AGAGUUUGAUUAUGGCUCAGGAUGAACGCUAGCGAUAGGCUUAACACAUGCAAGUCGAGGGGCAGCAUAAUUGUAGCAAUACAAUGGUGGCGACCGGCGCACGGGUGAGUAACACGUAUGCAACCUACCCAUAACAGGGGGAUAGCCCGUUGAAAGACGGAUUAAUACCCCAUAAGACAGGGGCACCGCCUGGUGCUAUUUGUUAAAGAUUAAUCGGUUAUGGAUGGGCCUGCGUUCCAUUAGCUAGUUGGUAAGGUAACGGCUUACCAAGGCAACGAUGGAUAGGGGAACUGAGAGGUUUAUCCCCCACACUGGUACUGAGACACGGACCAGACUCCUACGGGAGGCAGCAGUGAGGAAUAUUGGUCAAUGGGCGAGAGCCUGAACCAGCCAAGUCGCGUGAAGGACGACGGUAUUAUGUAUUGUAAACUUCUUUUAUAAGGGAAUAAAGUUAGGGACGUGUCCUUAUUUGUAUGUACCUUAUGAAUAAGCAUCGGCUAACUCCGUGCCAGCAGCCGCGGUAAUACGGAGGAUGCGAGCGUUAUCCGGAUUUAUUGGGUUUAAAGGGUGCGUAGGCGGGUUGAUAAGUCAGCGGUGAAAUCUUGGAGCUUAACUCCGAAACUGCCGUUGAAACUGUUAACCUUGAGUGUGAACGAGGUAGGCGGAAUUCGUGGUGUAGCGGUGAAAUGCAUAGAUAUCACGAAGAACUCCGAUAGCGCAGGCAGCUUACCAGAUCACAACUGACGCUGAAGCACGAAAGUGUGGGUAUCAAACAGGAUUAGAUACCCUGGUAGUCCACACAGUAAACGAUGAAUACUCACUGUUUGCGAUAUACAGCAAGCGGUCAAGCGAAAGCGUUAAGUAUUCCACCUGGGGAGUACGCCGGCAACGGUGAAACUCAAAGGAAUUGACGGGGGCCCGCACAAGCGGAGGAACAUGUGGUUUAAUUCGAUGAUACGCGAGGAACCUUACCCGGGCUC